CGCGAUGGACGAGCCGCCGCUCCCUGCCUUUGCGGGCGGGGGGAGGAAAGUCCGGGCUCCGCAGGGCAUGACGCCGGGUAACUCCCGGGCGGGGGCGGCAGCAAUGCCGCUUUCGACAGAGAGCGCAGCAGAAAAGACACAUCCUGGGGCGCAAGGCGCGCCGGGAAACGGUGAAAAGGCGGGGUAAGAGCCCACCGCCGCGCCGGUAACGGCGCGGAAAAGAUUCCGCGCGGGCGCUUGAGCGUACGGGCGGAAACGUGCAAGCCUCGUCAGGAGCAAAGCCAAACAGGCGGUGAACGGCCCGUUCGAUACCGCCGGGUAGGCUGCUGGAACCCUGUUGCAAGGCAGGGUCAAGAUAGAUGGCGGCAUAAAACAGAACCCGGCUUACGGUCCAUCGCUUUUU
RNAcentral lists this RNase P RNA (403 nucleotides) under Treponema sp. Its description in RNAcentral is "RNase P RNA component class A". It matches the Rfam family "Bacterial RNase P class A". Rfam says of the family: Ribonuclease P (RNase P) is a ubiquitous endoribonuclease, found in archaea, bacteria and eukarya as well as chloroplasts and mitochondria. Its best characterised activity is the generation of mature 5'-ends of tRNAs by cleaving the 5'-leader elements of precursor-tRNAs. Lineage: Bacteria; Pseudomonadati; Spirochaetota; Spirochaetia; Treponematales; Treponemataceae. The record is from RNAcentral.